AUGAUUCUACCAAUGCCAGCGGCAUGCACCAGAAACCAGGAAGGAAUCAUACAGCUGAGCCAACCUGCUGUACUUUAAAACACUUGACCACAAUUCUCCAGUGGAUACUCAACCCUGGCUUCAAACUCCCUUGUCUCUCCGCUCCUGUCCUAGGGAUGAGGGAGCAGAAGGCAAGCUUAGGACAAAGCAGAAACUGGCACCCUACACCCUCUCCCCAUGCCAUAUGUGUAACAUUCCUCAUGCACUCCUGGCUGCCCUAAAGGAAAAACGAUGCUUAACUGAUAGAGAUCCCAGUCCUGCAGGACAGGAGUAUCCCUCCAUCUACGAAUGUCCUAGUGACUUACAAGGAAGGAAGAAGCUUUCUCAUCAAUAGCCUGACUUCCAGAGACCCAUACCUCAGUUUCCGGAAGCCCUAACAUCACCCUCCCCUCCAUAAAAUUGAGGGAGGCUAAGGGGGAGGGAAGUGUAAUAAAACUGAAUUUCUUCUAAGCCCAAAUCCCACUGACAAGGAUGUGUGAUAGAAGGAAUGUAACAUAUCUCCAGGAAACUCCCGACUGUCUUCAUGCUUUCCCUCAUUAGAGGCAAAAACAGCCUUGACUUGACAAUAACCAGGUCUCCCUUAUCCUGAAAUUCUUCUUUAGCAUAUGACAGUCCUUCUGGACACCCCCUUUGUCCUCACCUUCCUCAGCUCCCAGUCAACCAUGCCUCUGUCUGAGCAGCUCUUUCUGCCCUUGGGUCCUGUCCCUGUGUUUUAAUAAAACCACCAUUUGCACCUAA
This is a long non-coding RNA of Mustela lutreola (European mink), 777 nucleotides long. RefSeq lists it as uncharacterized. The transcript has 2 exons. NCBI's taxonomy places the organism in Eukaryota, Metazoa, Chordata, Mammalia, Carnivora, Mustelidae. The record is from RefSeq and is a predicted model, not a curated record.